Tachysurus fulvidraco (yellow catfish) is the source of this 900-nucleotide long non-coding RNA. RefSeq lists it as uncharacterized. NCBI's taxonomy places the organism in Eukaryota, Metazoa, Chordata, Actinopteri, Siluriformes, Bagridae. The record is from RefSeq and is a predicted model, not a curated record. The transcript has 3 exons.
UUUGGCAAUGUAUAUGACGCAUGUAAAACGUAGUAAUGUGGUUUUGGUCACCAGACAAUCACAUCCAUAUAUGGUUCUUCCCCAAAUGGUUGACACAAAUAUGGAAGCACACAGUUUCAGCACAAACACACUAAACACUGUUGGGAUGAACUGGAAUGCUGACUGCACACCAGAACUCUUCAGCUAACAUUGGUGCCUGACCUCAAAAUUGCUCACGUGGCUAAGCGAGCAAAUCUUCACAGCCGUGGUUCAAAGUCUAGUGAAAGCCAUCGAAAAGAUUGGAGCAUAAGACAACUUGGUCACAACUUGGACCUUCAUGCAGGCCGUGAUCGGAAGUAGAACUUGGAAUCAAAUUAUGCACAUCAUUUAAUUGUGCAAAAUAAUAUCAUGGUUAUGCUUCAGAGUCUUCACUGUGAGUCUACAGUCUACAGGACUUGGCAUGAAGAAUGCUGUGCUAUAACAUUACACUUUAAUUCAUAAUGCAUUCCAGGUUGGACUGGCUAAAGGUCUUGCCAAAUCAAGAGACCAUAUUAAGACCAUGUAGUAUGAUAAACCCCAUUAAGAUGAUCAAAUCAGAUGUGUUUAGAUCUUUGGAUCCCUUAUAAUGACAUACAGAGAUAAUAGCAGCUAAUUGCCAUGAACUUUAUAGUGAAACACUACACCUUUAAGGCAAUGUUAUUGUUCUGUAAUGCUAGCUAUUACACCAGCCAUCAGGAAAACAACCGUUUCGGUUACAAUAACAGAGAAAAAUCAAUCAUUUUACAAUUGUAUUAUUAAAUAUAACAGAUCUCUCUCUGAUUCAGGGCCUGCUCUUUACUAGCAAUAAUCAAUUGAAGGUGUACGAUUAAAGUUGAAACAGACUUUAUGCUUCGUAAAAUGAUCAAAUCAAAAAACAGCAGA